GGUAAGACGAGGGAUCCUAGCGUUGCUCGGAAUUAUUGGGCGUAGAGCGGGUGUAGGCGGACUUAUAAGUCAGGUGUGAAAUCCCAGGGUUCAACCCUGGAAGUGCACUUGAUACUGUAAGUCUUGAGUGUGGUAGGGGCUAUUAGAAUUCCUGGUGUAGUGGUGAAAUACGUAGAUAUCAGGAGGAAUACCGGAGGCGAAGGCGGAUAGCUGGGCCAACACUGACGCUGAGACCCGAAAGCGU
Molecule: ribosomal RNA, 244 nt
Filed under: uncultured Pseudobdellovibrionaceae bacterium
Lineage: Bacteria; Pseudomonadati; Bdellovibrionota; Bdellovibrionia; Bdellovibrionales; Pseudobdellovibrionaceae
Description: uncultured Bdellovibrionaceae bacterium partial 16S ribosomal RNA
Rfam family: Bacterial small subunit ribosomal RNA
Source: RNAcentral